GUAGGUGGCAAGCGUUGUCCGGAAUUAUUGGGCGUAAAGCGCGCGCAGGCGGUUCUUUAAGUCUGAUGUGAAAGCCCACGGCUCAACCGAGGAGGGUCAUUGGAAACUGGAGAACUUGAGUACAGAAGAGGAAAGCGGAAUUCCACGUGUAGCGGUGAAAUGCGUAGAGAUGUGGAGGAACACCAGUGGCGAAGGCGGCUUUCUGGUCUGUAACUGACGCUGAGGCGCGAAAGCGUGGGGAGCAAACAGGGAUUAGAUACCCUGGUAGUCCACGCCGUAAACGAUGAGUGCUAAGUGUUAGGGGGUUUCCGCCCCCUUAGUGCUGCAGCUAACGCAUUAAGCACUCCGCCUGGGGAUACGGCCGCAAGGCUG
This 372-nucleotide ribosomal RNA is filed under the name uncultured organism. Its description in RNAcentral is "partial 16S ribosomal RNA". It matches the Rfam family "Bacterial small subunit ribosomal RNA", at positions 527 to 896 of the family's 1533-position model. The record is from RNAcentral.